This 253-nucleotide ribosomal RNA is filed under the name uncultured prokaryote. Its description in RNAcentral is "partial 16S ribosomal RNA". It matches the Rfam family "Bacterial small subunit ribosomal RNA", at positions 525 to 777 of the family's 1533-position model. The record is from RNAcentral.
ACGGGGGGGGCAAGCGUUGUUCGGAAUUACUGGGCGUAAAGGGCUCGUAGGUGGCCAACUAAGUCAGACGUGAAAUCCCUCGGCUUAACCGGGGAACUGCGUCUGAUACUGGAUGGCUUGAGUUUGGGAGAGGGAUGCGGAAUUCCAGGUGUAGCGGUGAAAUGCGUAGAUAUCUGGAGGAACACCGGUGGCGAAGGCGGGUCUCUGGGGCUUUUCUGACGCUGAGGAACGAAAGCCAGGGGAGCAAACAGGA